This 445-nucleotide ribosomal RNA is filed under the name uncultured bacterium. RNAcentral describes it as "partial 16S ribosomal RNA". It matches the Rfam family "Bacterial small subunit ribosomal RNA", at positions 354 to 796 of the family's 1533-position model. The record is from RNAcentral.
GUGAGGAAUAUUGCGCAAUGGAGGCAACUCUGACGCAGCCAUGCCGCGUGCAGGAAGAAGGCGCUACGCGUUGUAAACUGCUUUUAACCGGGAAGAAACCCCAGGACGUGUCCUGGGUUGACGGUACCGGAGGAAUAAGCACCGGCUAACUUCGUGCCAGCAGCCGCGGUAAUACGAAGGGUGCAAGCGUUAUCCGGAUUCAUUGGGUUGAAAGGGUGCGUAGGCGGAGCGUUAAGUCAGUGGUGAAAUCCUGCAGCUUAACUGUAGACUUGCCAUUGAUACUGGCGCUCUUGAGUGCGCUUGAAGUGGGCGGAAUGUGCCGUGUAGCGGUGAAAUGCUUAGAUAUGGCACAGAACACCAAUUGCGAAGGCAGCUCACUAAGGCGAUACUGACGCUGAGGCACGAAAGCGUGGGGAUCGAACAGGAUUAGAAACCCUGGUAGUCC